Molecule: small nucleolar RNA, 201 nt
Filed under: Jaculus jaculus (lesser Egyptian jerboa)
Lineage: Eukaryota; Metazoa; Chordata; Mammalia; Rodentia; Dipodidae
Description: Small nucleolar RNA U3 (ENSJJAG00000001975.1)
Rfam family: Small nucleolar RNA U3
About the family: Small nucleolar RNAs (snoRNAs) are involved in the processing and modification of rRNA in the nucleolus. There are two main classes of snoRNAs: the box C/D class, and the box H/ACA class.
Source: Rfam by way of RNAcentral
AAGACUGCUCUCAGGAUCCUUUCUAUAGUUCUUUACUAGAGAAGUUUCUCUGUAGGAUACGCAAACCACGAGGAAGACACGGCGUCCUCUCCUGAGCGCGAAGCGGCUCUUGGUGUUGCUUUGCUGCAAUGCCACGGGCCGUUGAUGAUCUUCCUGCCCUCCUUUGGGGGACUAGAGGGAGAGGACGCAGUCUUAAGAGGC